RNAcentral lists this ribosomal RNA (330 nucleotides) under uncultured bacterium. Its description in RNAcentral is "bacterial SSU rRNA". It matches the Rfam family "Bacterial small subunit ribosomal RNA", at positions 463 to 793 of the family's 1533-position model. The record is from RNAcentral.
AUUUAUUGUACGUUACCUACAGAAGAAGCACCGGCUAACUCCGUGCCAGCAGCCGCGGUAAUACGGAGGGUGCGAGCGUUAAUCGGAAUUACUGGGCGUAAAGCGCAUGCAGGCGGCCUGUUAAGUCAGAUGUGAAAGCCCGGGGCUUAACCUCGGAAUUGCAUUUGAAACUGGCAGGCUAGAGUCUUGUAGAGGGGGUAGAAUUUCAGGUGUAGCGGUGAAAAUGCGUAGAGAUCUGAAGGAAUACCAGUGGCGAAGGCGGCCCCUGGACAAAGACUGACGCUCAGAUGCGAAAGCGUGGGGAGCAAACAGGAUUAGAUACCCUGGUAG